Penaeus monodon (black tiger shrimp) is the source of this 2770-nucleotide RNA transcript. It is a transcript of the gene named partitioning defective 6 homolog alpha-like, with no coding region annotated. The record is from RefSeq and is a predicted model, not a curated record. Lineage: Eukaryota; Metazoa; Arthropoda; Malacostraca; Decapoda; Penaeidae. The transcript has 3 exons.
AUGACCAUCCUUUCAAAAAGAGCGGAUGAUCCAAGCCCCACCCUGAUGGGUAACCCAAGUCCCCAGAGCAGCUUGCCUGCCUUAGUAGCAGCUAUAAUUGAUGUGGGAUGUAGUGCCUGAGGUAUGCAGGAGAGUUUCGCCUGUUGAAGCAUGGAUCAGACAAACCUCUAGGUUUUUACAUUCGAGAUGGUAUAGUGUGGGGAGUAACACCACUGGCCUGGAGAGAGUGCCUGGUAUAUUUAUCUCUCGGUUAGUACCAGGUGGCUAGCAAGAAAACUGGCUGCUGCAUAAAUGAUGAAGUCCUGGAAGUUAAUGGAAUAGAGUUAAUGGAAAACAUUAGAUCAGGUGAAAAAUUUUAUGGUAGCCAACAGCAGUAAUCUGAUUAUAACAGUUAAACCUGCAAAUCAACGGACAUUAUCACACACACCACGUCGAGGUUCCUUCUCCCGCAACUCUGCCAUGUCCUCUGGAUCACAGCAGUCUCACCAGUCUGCCUCUGAUGAUGAUCGUUAUGACCAGGAUGAGAUACGAGACCUGACUGCGGCAGAUUCCCUUAGUGAUGCACCUCUUUCCCAUGCAUCACACCCAUCAAAGGAUGAAGGGGUCUUACAUCUUUAGUUGUAUGGAAGAUAUAUUUUAACUGCCAUUAAUAGUUUUGAUAGGUAACAUGGAUAAUGGUAAACAUUAAAAGAGUAUUUUUUAUAGAUAUCUGAAUCAUAUCAUCCUUUAUGUUGUGGGAUUAUUAUAUCCUCAUUUUUAUCAUUGUUUUAUUAAUAUUUAUGUAUAUAAUUUUUUAAUAUUUUCCCCACCUCCAUUUACUAUUUUAUGGGGCUCAUGUUUGCAUAAUGUAUUGUAAACACAUGAUUUAUUUUGGUGCAGUAUCAUAGUUGACCGUGUGGCCAACACCAGUCUUAGAUUGUGCAGAAUUUAUAUCCAUAUCUGUUAUAGCUCAUUAUUUUAGCCCACCGUUGAUGAUAAUGUUGUUUACAUUAAAAGCCAUACUGUUAGAAAUGCUACACCUUGUAAGGUGGAAGGUAGAACAAGUGCCUGUAAUUACAUUGCUAAUGUGUGUCUUUCCUGAUGCCUUUAAGGGUUAUAUAUUUGAGUAUGUUGAAGAAUAGAAUAUCAAGUAUGAAAAUCAUAAGGAAGUACGUACGAUAGUUGUCCACAGUUGAAUUUAUAGCGUAAAUGUGCCUUUCUUGCUGGAAUUUUAAUCAAACCUUACAACUUCAUUUUCCUAGUAAUCAGAUUGUAUAUCUUUUUAUAUUUAAUCUUUUUUAUUACAUUUUUAAUGUCAACAUCAGUACUUAGGCAGAAAAUGAGCAAGUUAUAUACAACAAAAAGAUUGGUAAUAUAGUCAGUAUCUUUUAAAUGGUUUGUACUGCUGAUUCUUCCACAUCAUUUAACUUGAUUGAAGGAUAUACUUACAUUCCCAGUUCAAAUCACCUAUAGUUUGAAGUUUCACUGUUGUAAGAAAAUAUACUUUUAUAAUCAAUUGUAAUUAGCUUUAACUUGAAACUAAGAGUUAUUUCCCUCUGUUGAUUGUAUAUACAUUAUGUGCAUAUGUUAUGUUUAAGGUAUAGAGGCCAGAAGUAGUACAUGGCUUCAGAUACUUUAAGUGUUUGGCAUGAAUAGUUAUGCUACUUCCCCACACCCAAUGGUUGUCACUUGUGUACAAUAUUAUAAUAUGUGAAUAACAUACAUUUGAGGGAUUUAGUGCACCUUGAAAGCCUCAAAUAAAGGCUCCCCAGAGCACUUGUGCUAUAUAGACCACAUUUCUGUGGACCAUUAUGUAUAUUAUUGAAAUUAUACAGUUUACACCUAGAUCAUAUUUUAUUACUUGUGAUAAAACUUUCAAGGAUAGGAUUGUGGGUCAGAGACCACUGUAUAGUGUAAAUGAUUGGUUGAUUGAUGUAAGAAUGAGUGAACAUCAGAAAUUGCAAGUAUAAUAAUAAUUAUGUUGGAGAAAGGCAUUGUUUGACAGUUUAUAUAGCAAGCAGCAUUGUGCAGCUUCUGAAUGUCCCACAUAUUUUCAGUAUGAUAAUUCUAAUUACAGUAUACAAGAAGUUCAGCUUUGAGAUACUUAGCCAGGUAACAUAAAGUAAAGCUGUAUUCCACAUUCCGUCCUGUAUUAAUUACAUAUAUGAUGCAAUAUUUUUUCAAGGACAUAUUUGCUUGUAAGAUGUUCUGUUGCUAAUGGUAUUGAGGAGAAAGGGAGAUUGCAUCUGGGUAAGUAGGUCAGUAAAGGUAUUAAGUAUUAAUGCUUUGGUGUUUUAGAUGAGAUGAUAGGGCCGUAAAAGCCAAUCUUUUAGUAAUGAAAUAUCAUAGAUUGUGAAUGUAAUUCUUUUCAUGUUUCAAGAAACUAAUUCUGACAUUUUUAAUAUAAUGGUAAAAACACACAAAGCUAAAUUGUUUUUGUUACAACAUUAUCAGGAUAAUUUAUAUUGAUAAAUGCAAUUAAAAUAUUGUUAUUCCAACACCCAAUAUUUCCUCAUGUGAAAAUGAUUCCUAAGUGGCAGCUUAGCAGCUUGCAUUUAAAUGCUAAAGAUUGUAAAAUAAGCCCAAUAUUUCUCCAGGUAAGGAAACUGUCCAGAAGUAACAGAACAACUUGAGGCUUGUGAAUCUUCUUGGCUCCACAGUUUCUUCAUGGCCAUGGAGGCUUUUUACCUGUCAGUUCUAUAACAACUUUGCAUGUAUACUUAUUCAGAUUAAAUUUAUUUUAUACAUACAAAUUUGUAUGGAUUAUAGCCUAUUAAAGUGAAACCAUUAA